Molecule: long non-coding RNA, 746 nt
Organism: Hydra vulgaris (swiftwater hydra)
Lineage: Eukaryota; Metazoa; Cnidaria; Hydrozoa; Anthoathecata; Hydridae
Source: RefSeq, a predicted model, not a curated record
AAAAGUUAUAUUCCAAUUUGCUGAAAUUGACAACAUUUUAGUGGAUAUAACUGCACAGUUCUCUAAUGAUCCAGAAGAAGGUUUUACACAACGUAAAAUUUCAGAUGAACUUAAUGUUUUGAAAAGAAAAAUUGCAAAUAUAGAUAUCCAAUACAUCGCUUUUGUAUUAGUCAGUUUUAUCUUUAUAGUUUAUAUGUUAUAUAUUGUUACAAUAAUUCUUUUAAAUUGUCAUAAACAUUUUCAAUGUUUCUUUCACAUUGUUUCUUUUUAGGUAAAACAGUUAUCAUUAAUUAGCGGUAAAAAAUCGAGUAGAUACAAUUAAAAAUAUUUUGCUCUUACUACCAACAGACACUAUUUUGUCCGAAUACAGCAUGAAUGGUCUAAAGAAGAAAAAAAAGUUUAAAGAAUUGACAAGUCUAUGUAAUGCUGAAACUGCUUUAAAGUCAAAUAAAAACAAAAUGGAUGCCAUCCAUUCAACUUAUUGGGAGAGUAAUUAGGAAUUCUUCUGACUGAUUAAAGAAAACAUCCACUAAUAUGAAUAUCGAUCAAUGAUCGGCUUAAUUAGCUGUUGUAUUUUUUAUUUAUUUUCCAUUUUUCAGCAAUUUUCUUCUAUUUAUAAUGCACUAUCGAUUAUAUUCUACAGUACCUAAUAGUUUUUAAUUUGGAAAGGGUAAUUUUAUUUGAAAAAUUAUUCUUAUUUUUUGUAAAGUAAUUAAUUUAUUUUAAAUAUAUCAAAUUACACUUUA